CCAAUAAUCAAGAUUGAAUUUUCAUUCUUUCAUAUUUAAGAGAUCCAAUCUCCACCUCACAUUCUUAUUUCUCCAAAAAACUUGUCCACCGCACCUCACCCUUUUCCUCUUCUCUGUCUCACCACCUGCGAGCACCACUGCUCUGCCAUCUCCAGCGAGGCUACCAUGGCAAUCGCCACCAUAUUCUCCUCUUCUCCUCUCUCCUGUGUGCUAGUGGCCGACGAAACCAGCCACCAAAUGCCACCCUCUCUUUCUCACAGAGCCAUCUCAGAUGAAGCUAACACCAACUCAAACCCCGAUCCUCUCUUCUCUCUUUCUCUACUCUGAUGAAACCACCAUGUGAAGGCACCAGUGAGACAUCCUUGCAACCAUUCGACCUAUCGCCCCACUCUUCUCUUUUCUCCGACGAAGGCACCAAAAACUACUAAAGUAGCAAGAGCAUUGAAUAUCCAUUUCGAAGAACAUGUAUGGGACUAGUGAGUCGGUGGCCAGCGAACCCCGCUCUUCAUUUUUCUCCGUCGGAGUGAUGGAGACAACAACAUAAGAAACCACUCCAACAAGCUGCUGUGAUGACGGUAACAAACACUAUUUGAAACGGAUUUGGUCGAUAAGAAGUUUUAAAAUUUUGACAUGCUUAAAAUGAAUCUUAAUAAAUCAGCUUUAGUUAGUUCUUUUGUUCGAUUUUGAUAUACUUCGAUAAUGGAAUAUACGAUCUAAGCAUGAACUGGUAUUCUAAAAAUAAUGUUGGGUUUUAAAAGGUGUGAAUGGAAAAUAAAGAGUUACACCUUUUAUAACGAGUCGCGACUUUUAUGAAAAGUUGCGACUUUUAUGAAGAGUUAUGACUUUUAUGAAAAGUUGCUAUUUUAAUGAAAAAUUGUGAUUUUUAUGAAAAGUUAUGACUUUUAUGAAAGGUUGUGACAUUUUUGAAAUAUUGACUCUUCCAAAGUUUUGUGACCUUUUCGGUAAGACAUAGUAAAAAUCUUUCCACACUACCUUUUGUUUUUUUAAUAGAUGGAGGGUUUUCCUCUCAUUUUAGUUGAAAUUUUUUUUGGACUUCUUCUACUACUAAAUCUAGUAUUAUAAAUGUACUUUAUUGUCGUUGAGUGGUUUGCUGACACCGUGGUUUUUGUAUCGAUACACCAAUGAAUAAGACCUUUUCUAUCCUGGGAGAAUAUAUUUCAUUAACCUCGGAUACUUGAGGGAAAUAAUUUCCUUAAGGGGUCACUGUGCAUUUAGUGAGUUCGAUUUUAUUUCUUUGAAAAAAUAUUCUUAUAUUGUUUCUAAUUCUUCUUUUGAUUCUAUUUUCUCUACUAGUUUUAACUUUUUAGUUAUGUAAGUUUUGGGUCGUGGGUUGUCCAUGUGGACCAACCUGACCUGACACAUUCUGUUUUAUGUCUUAUCCAAUUAAUUAAAUAAAUAAAUAAUUUGUAACUACUCAACCUCUCCUUAAAAGGCUCAUAAUGGGAAUAAUUUUCAUAAGGUACGUGAAAACGUGAAAUAGAGAGGAAAUUGUGUGAAAUAGAAAAUAAAAAACAAGCAAUCAGUCAAGGAACAAAGAAGUGAGUUUCUCAGAAAAAUUAAUCAACACAAAGCAGACUUCUAUUUUGUGAACUCAGAUCUUUGUUUUCUAAUGAUUCAAAGACGGACUUGAGCACCAAUCUGUCAAAGAAGCAGAUCAACGUCUUUAGCUGUGAAUUACAAGGAUAAGACAGACUGUUCAACCUCUUCUUAGAAGACUCUUACUGGGAGCAUUUUUCUAAGGUACGUGAAACGGGAAAUACAGAGGAAAUUGUGUGAAACAAAAAACUAAAAACAAGCGAUCAAUCAAGAAACAAAGAUCUUUGUUUCCUAGUGAUUCACAGACGGACUUACACCAGCCUGUCAAAGAAGCAGCUAGACGAUUUUCACUGUGAAUUACAAGGGACUUCUCCUCUCAUUUUGAGGAUCACGCUUUAACAAUCCAAUAAGAUUGAGUUUGCUGCUUCGAAUCAAAUAAGAAUCAAGUUUACUUUGCUGAAUAAUUAAUCUCUCUAACAGGUGCAGGCACAGGUGGACGUUAAAGCUUACAGUACGACGUUACAGCUAUCCGGACGUGGAACUUUCACUCGGAUUUGGUAGGCCCACAUGCUUUCGAGGAUGUCUACUGUUAUUUUCUAUCAUAGAUGUAGGCUUUAUCUAGUGGAGCAUGUUCGACUAAUUUUUUGUUUCCACUUUCAUUUAAGACUUUGUACUGGUGCCAUUUUUGAAAAAAACAUUUU
Molecule: long non-coding RNA, 2258 nt
Organism: Solanum pennellii
Lineage: Eukaryota; Viridiplantae; Streptophyta; Magnoliopsida; Solanales; Solanaceae
Exons: 4
Source: RefSeq, a predicted model, not a curated record